AGUGGAUGAAGAGAACAAGAGGCAUGA
This 27-nucleotide small RNA is filed under the name Arabidopsis thaliana (thale cress). RNAcentral's name for it is "ATSL171520". Lineage: Eukaryota; Viridiplantae; Streptophyta; Magnoliopsida; Brassicales; Brassicaceae. The record is from RNAcentral.